AGCAGAUGCCUCUGUUUCUUGAGCUGACUUCCAGAUUCUGAGAAAUAAAUGAAGAGUGGAGGCUUGUUUUGGUAGAGGCUGAGAAAAGGAGUUGGCCAUAUUUGCCCUUCAGAACUUCGUGUCAUCCCCCAGCUCCCCAACGGCAGGGCCACAUUCUUUCACAGGACGGAGUUGGGGCAGAUUAUGGCUUCCUCUGGAUUGGAUUUCCCUUGGCUUCCCUGAGGGCAAUCCCCCGAGGAAGCACAUCCUGGAGCCAAACUCACCCAAUGAACCACAGCAACAGCUCCUAGGAGAAUGAAGAGUGUGAAUGGAUGGCCUUUUCAAAAUGAUGAGCCUGGAAGAGUUACAGACUCUGGCCCGAAAGAACCAAAGUUGAAGGUAGAGAUGUUUUAAGGAUGAGCAGAGCAGAACAACUUAGCAGUGGGAUGUUAAAGGCAACAUGAAUCAAACAUGGUAAUUAGAAACCAGGAAGACUGAGAAGGAAUCAAAUUUGCAGCAGCUCAGUAAGUGGUAGACUGG
This 519-nucleotide long non-coding RNA is filed under the name Homo sapiens (human). RNAcentral's name for it is "non-protein coding lnc-HDAC2-4:15". The record is from RNAcentral. Lineage: Eukaryota; Metazoa; Chordata; Mammalia; Primates; Hominidae.